RNAcentral lists this long non-coding RNA (214 nucleotides) under Ananas comosus (pineapple). RNAcentral's name for it is "long non-coding RNA (ACOM_LNC016803)". The record is from RNAcentral. Lineage: Eukaryota; Viridiplantae; Streptophyta; Magnoliopsida; Poales; Bromeliaceae.
GAUGCUACGCAGUAGGAAAUCCAAUCUCACGAUCACUCGUCGCCGCUUCAACCUCUUGUGCGGAAACAAAGCCGAAACGCUCUCCGCCGCGAUAUCUCCGCACCAACUCGACGAAUAGUCGAACCGUCGCCGCCAACGCGUUUAAACACCUAUCAAUUAGGUUUACAACCAUCCAAAUGAGAUCAAAACCUUAUAUUUCCCAAAACCCCAUUUU